RNAcentral lists this long non-coding RNA (283 nucleotides) under Helianthus annuus (common sunflower). RNAcentral's name for it is "sRNA HanXRQr2_Chr15g0691421". The record is from RNAcentral. Lineage: Eukaryota; Viridiplantae; Streptophyta; Magnoliopsida; Asterales; Asteraceae.
UCGGCAACUGAGAAUCGACCGGAGAUAUAAGAAAAGCUUCACACUGACUCCGCCGUCUUUAUCCCUCCGUGAAUCAAACAUUAUCUUUGAAAUUAUUCAUAAAUGGGUCAAUUUGUAUCUGCAAGGAGUGUCAAUGUGCGUGAAAACCUAGAAGCAGCAACACUCGGGCUUGAUGUUGGUGAACCUUCAUAAGUGUAUCUUGAACUGCACCUUGGGACCCUUUUACUUUUUUAGUCAAACAUGUGUGCUACUGCAUUUGUAAUCCUCAUGUUCAUUGGUCAUC